This 253-nucleotide ribosomal RNA is filed under the name uncultured bacterium. RNAcentral's name for it is "partial 16S ribosomal RNA". It matches the Rfam family "Bacterial small subunit ribosomal RNA", at positions 524 to 776 of the family's 1533-position model. The record is from RNAcentral.
UACGGAAGGGGCAAGCGUUGUUCGGAAUCAUUGGGCGUAAAGGGCGCGUAGGUGGCGGCGUAUGUCGGCCGUGAAAGCGCACGGCUCAACCGUGCUGGGUCGGCGGAAACUGCGUCGCUUGAGGCUGGGAGGGGCUGGUGGAAUUCCCCGUGUAGCGGUGAAAUGCGUAGAGAUGGGGGAGAACACUCGUGGCGAAGGCGGCCAGCUGGACCAGUCCUGACACUGAGGCGCGACAGCGUGGGGAGCAAACAGG